Molecule: ribosomal RNA, 316 nt
Filed under: uncultured Pseudomonas sp.
Lineage: Bacteria; Pseudomonadati; Pseudomonadota; Gammaproteobacteria; Pseudomonadales; Pseudomonadaceae
Description: bacterial SSU rRNA
Rfam family: Bacterial small subunit ribosomal RNA
Source: RNAcentral
GUCGUGAGAUGUUGGGUUAAGUCCCGUAACGAGCGCAACCCUUGUCCUAGUUACCAGCACGUUAUGUGGGCACUCUAAGGAGACUGCCGGUGACAACCGGAGGAAGGUGGGGAUGACGUCAAGUCAUCAUGGCCCUUACGGCCUGGGCUACACACGUGCUACAAUGGUCGGUACAAAGGGUUGCCAAGCCGCGAGGUGGAGCUAAUCCCAUAAAACCGAUCGUAGUCCGGAUCGCAGUCUGCAACUCGACUGCGUGAAGUCGGAAUCGCUAGUAAUCGUGAAUCAGAAUGUCACGGUGAAUACGUUCCCGGGCCUU